Molecule: transfer RNA, 88 nt
Filed under: Luminiphilus sp.
Lineage: Bacteria; Pseudomonadati; Pseudomonadota; Gammaproteobacteria; Cellvibrionales; Halieaceae
Description: tRNA-Leu
Rfam family: tRNA
About the family: Transfer RNA (tRNA) molecules are approximately 80 nucleotides in length. Their secondary structure includes four short double-helical elements and three loops (D, anti-codon, and T loops).
Source: RNAcentral
GCCCAGGUGGUGAAAUUGGUAGACACGCUAGCUUCAGGUGCUAGUGCUCGCAAAGGGCGUGGAGGUUCAAGUCCUCUCCUGGGCACCA